AACGAACGCUGGCGGCAUGCCUAACACAUGCAAGUCGAACGGGAUCCUGGCUUCGGUCAGGUGAGAGUGGCGGACGGGUGAGUAACGCGUGGGAACCUGCCCAGUGGUGGGGGAUAACUGCGGGAAACUGCAGCUAAUACCGCAUGAGCCCGAGAGGGGGAAAGAUUUAUCGCCAUUGGAGGGGCCCGCGUUCGAUUAGGUAGUUGGUGAGGUAACGGCUCACCAAGCCGACGAUCGAUAGCUGGCCUGAGAGGAUGAUCAGCCACACUGGGACUGAGAUACGGCCCAGACUCCUACGGGAGGCAGCAGUGGGGAAUAUUGGACAAUGGGGGCAACCCUGAUCCAGCAAUGCCGCGUGAGUGAUGAAGGCCUCGGUUGUAAG
RNAcentral lists this ribosomal RNA (382 nucleotides) under uncultured bacterium. Its description in RNAcentral is "bacterial SSU rRNA". It matches the Rfam family "Bacterial small subunit ribosomal RNA", at positions 29 to 429 of the family's 1533-position model. The record is from RNAcentral.